This 460-nucleotide ribosomal RNA is filed under the name uncultured bacterium. RNAcentral describes it as "partial 16S ribosomal RNA". It matches the Rfam family "Bacterial small subunit ribosomal RNA", at positions 338 to 795 of the family's 1533-position model. The record is from RNAcentral.
CCUACGGGUGGCAGCAGUGAGGAAUAUUGGUCAAUGGGCGCGAGCCUGAACCAGCCAAGUAGCGUGAAGGAUGACUGCUCUACGGGUUGUAAACUUCUUUUAUAAAGGAGUAAAGUGAGGCUCGUGUGCCUUUUUGUAUGUACUUUCUGCAUAAGGAUCGGCUAAGUCCGUGCCAGCAGCCGCGGUAAUACGGAGGGUCCGAGCGUUAUCCGGAUUUAUUGGGUUUAAAGGGAGCGUAGAUGGGGUGGUAAGUCAGUUGUGAAAGUUUGCGGCUCAACCGAGAAAUUGCAAUUGAAACUAGCGGUCUUGAGUACUGUAGAGGAAGGCGGAAUUCGUGGUGUAGCGGUGAAAUGCGUAGAUAUUAGGAGGAACACCAGUGGCGAAGGCGGCUUACUAAACAGCAACUGACGUGGAGGCUCGAAAGUGUGGGGAUCAAACAGGAUUAGAUACCCGAGUAGUC